RNAcentral lists this ribosomal RNA (407 nucleotides) under uncultured bacterium. RNAcentral describes it as "partial 16S ribosomal RNA". It matches the Rfam family "Bacterial small subunit ribosomal RNA", at positions 28 to 526 of the family's 1533-position model. The record is from RNAcentral.
GACGAACGCUGGCGGCGUGCCUAAUACAUGCAAGUCGAACGCAGUUGCGAACGGGUGAGUAACGCGUAGGUAACUGCCUCCUAGCGGGGGAUAACUAUUGGAAACGAUAGCUAAUACCGCAUACUAUGCGAUAGACCUGCGUUGGAUUAGCUAGUUGGUGAGGUAAAGGCUCACCAAGGCGACGAUACUUAGCCGACCUGAGAGGGGGAUCGGCCACAUGGGGACUGAGACACGGCCCAGACUCCUACGGGAGGCAGCAGGAGGGAAUCUUCGGCAAUGGACGAAAGCCUGACCGAGCAACGCCGCGUGAGGGAAGAAGGUUUUCGGAUCGUAAAACUCUGUUGUUAGAGAAGCGGUAUCUAACCAGAAAGCAACGGCUAACUACGUGCCAGCCGCCGCGGUAAUUC